AGCGAAUAGAUACCCCGGUAGUCCUAGCCGUAAACGAUGGAUACUAGGUGUAAGUGGUAUCGACCCCACUUGUGCCGCAGCUAAACGCAUUAAGUAUCCCGCCUGGGGAGUACGGCCGCAAGGCUGAAACUCGAAGGAAUUGACGGGGGCCCGCACAAGCGGUGGAGCAUGUGGUUUAAUUCGUUACUAACCGAAGAACCUUACCCAGGCUUGACAUCCCCGGACAGCUUAUGAAAGUAAGCCUUCUCCCUCACAAGGGGAGACUGGGUGACAGGUGUUGCAUGGCUGUCGUCAGCUCGUGUCGUGAGAUGUUGGGUUUAAGUCCCGCAACGAGCGCAACCCUCAUCGCAUGUUGCCAGCGU
RNAcentral lists this ribosomal RNA (362 nucleotides) under uncultured bacterium. RNAcentral's name for it is "bacterial SSU rRNA". It matches the Rfam family "Bacterial small subunit ribosomal RNA", at positions 773 to 1124 of the family's 1533-position model. The record is from RNAcentral.